UUCGCAAUGCCCGAAAGGGUGACGAAGCGACGCCGCGUGUGGGAAGAAGGCCUUCGGGUUGUAAACCACUGUCGGGAGUUAAGAAAUGUAAGGGUGUUAAUAGCGCCUUUACUUGACAAAGGCUCCGGAGGAAGCCACGGCUAACUCUGUGCCAGCAGCCGCGGUAAUACAGAGGCGGCAAGCGUUGUUCGGAAUUAUUGGGCGUAAAGAGCACGUAGGCGGCUUUGCAAGUCAGUUGUGAAAGCCUUCCGCUUAACGGAAGAACAGCAGCUGAUACUACAGAGCUUGAGUACGGGAGGGGAGAGUGGAACAUCUGGUGGAGCGGUGAAAUGCGUAGAUAUCAGAAGGAACGCCGGCGGCGAAAGCGAUUCUCUGGUCCGAAACUGACGCUGAGUGUGCGAAAGCUAGGGGAUCAAACGGGAUUAGAUACCCCGGUAGUCCUAGCCGUAAACGAUGGGCACUAAGUAGAGGGGUUUU
RNAcentral lists this ribosomal RNA (477 nucleotides) under uncultured Planctomycetota bacterium. Its description in RNAcentral is "bacterial SSU rRNA". It matches the Rfam family "Bacterial small subunit ribosomal RNA", at positions 365 to 832 of the family's 1533-position model. Lineage: Bacteria; Pseudomonadati; Planctomycetota. The record is from RNAcentral.